CCGGCGCACGGGUGAGUAACACGUAUCCAACCUGUCGUCUACUCUUGGACAGCCUUCUGAAAGGAAGAUUAAUACAAGAUGGCAUCACGAGUCCGCAUGUUCACAUGAUUAAAGGUAUUCCGGUAGACGAUGGGGAUGCGUUCCAUUAGAUAGUAGGCGGGGUAACGGCCCACCUAGUCUUCGAUGGAUAGGGGUUCUGAGAGGAAGGUCCCCCACAUUGGAACUGAGACACGGUCCAA
RNAcentral lists this ribosomal RNA (239 nucleotides) under uncultured bacterium. RNAcentral's name for it is "partial 16S ribosomal RNA". It matches the Rfam family "Bacterial small subunit ribosomal RNA", at positions 95 to 334 of the family's 1533-position model. The record is from RNAcentral.